CAGAAAAUAUAGUAAAAUACACAAAAAUACGAAUUGAUUCAAUACUGAAUUUUAAGAAAUACCAAAUUUUUCGUUGACGAAUGAGAACUGAUCAUAACAUCUUGUAUUACUGCUUUCAUUUGGCCAAGGUAAUUGUGGAUUUUGUCCUAAGGAAGGAAAGGGCACCAUGAUUUGAAACGGGAUUCAUGGUGGAUCCGUCAUUUACCACAUCUUGUUGAACAGUCAGGUGCGUACAGUGUAAACUAGAGCCAACAAGUUGUGCUCUAACUGAUCAUAGUGUGAUGUCGGAAUGGAAGCUACCUGAAAUCCCCCAAGACAGUUAAAGCACACAUCAUUUAUAUAAAGCAUGAAAUUGCUUGACUAAGUUGACCCUCCCGUGCAGCAGUGUUGAUGGUCUACAAUUACACUUCCAAUUGUUGAUGUUUGUCUUCAACAUCAACUUCUGCUAUACCUAUAUGAAUCAUUUUUGUACUUUCAUAUUUGGUGGUUCAUCUUUUGCCAAGUUAUAGUCAAAGGUGUCCUGCACUUAUAUUUGCCUCACUCAAAAAUAGGAAACGGAAAGAGAUACUGCUUUCUCGGAAAAAGCUAUUCGCACUUCACCAUCUUGUAAUCGACUUUUGCCAACUAACCACGAAAGAUGUCAUGCAACUGUAUUAGCCCAUGGCCAAAUAUUGAAUACGGAAAGGGAUAUUCGAAGGAAAAGAAAGCGGUAUUAGUGGAAUUUCAAAAAACCCUCUCAGAUUCCUUGUAGUUCUUUGCUUGUGGCACUUGGAUACCUCUCUUCUUGUACCCUGUAUCAACUGUCAACUGAGUGCAUUUUGAUACAAAAGUAGGGUUACAAGUUUUUGCUGGAUGACGAACACGUCCAUUGUCUUACCUACUUAACCUUUCCGACGCAAAAGAUGUAUAUUUUCAACACGCCUUCUCAUAACCAAUCGUGACGAAAAAUCUGAACUCUUCAAAUCAGGAGACAUUAGAAAUAUGUGUAACAUACGAAUACAAUAAACGGACGUUGCAAGUUGAA
Molecule: long non-coding RNA, 1024 nt
Organism: Daphnia carinata
Lineage: Eukaryota; Metazoa; Arthropoda; Branchiopoda; Diplostraca; Daphniidae
Exons: 6
Source: RefSeq, a predicted model, not a curated record